CCUAGGAAAGAAAAAUAUCACUAUAUAUGAAGUAUGAACCUGAAUCUUUCACCUUGAAGUAGCACCUCGACAUUUAAGAAACAAGAUAAAAAAACUUCAAAAGAAAAAUCGCAAAUGCUUGAAUUGAUUUUGCAUAAACAAGAGAGUCUCUGCAACUAGUUAUAAAGAUUCUCAGGUUUCAUUUUAAUGCUAAAGAUUCUCAGUUUUGAGGAGUCAUGAUGGCUUCCGUUACUGCAACAUCUUCUUUCAAAUUAUAAAUCUGAAGGUUUCUAUAUUCUAAUAGGCUAAAAGCCCAUUUAUCCGCGAAAUCCCUUGCCUUUCCUACAGAAAAACGUUGUCGUUCUUUAAUCAUUCACCUACACUAGCAAACGGUUUCGUUUGAUCAAAGGGUUCCCCACUUCCGAGUCGCACGCUGCUUGUUCACAGUGAAGGGGAGAGAGAGGGACAGCAGAGGAAGGAUGGAGGAGAAGAGCAGAGUCCUGAUAAUAGGAGCAACGGGAAGAUUAGGUUACCAUUUAGUCAACUUUAGUCUCCAGGAUGGUCACCCCACUUUUAUUCUUAUCAGAGACUCCUCAUUUACUGAUCCAAACAAAGUUCAAAAACUCAACUCUCUUCUAACUGCUGGUGCUAUUCUCCUCAAGGGUUCACUUGAAGAUGAGAAGAGUCUCAGGGAAGCAGCGAAGCAAGUGGAUGUAGUUAUCUGUGCAAUCCCAUCAAAACAGGCUCUUGAUCAGAAAAUACUCAUCCAGGUUAUUAAAGAAUCUGGGCGCAUUAAGAAAUUCAUUCCAUCCGAAUUCGGUGUAGAUCCUGACAAAAUUCAGAUAUCUGGCCUGGACCAUCAAUUCUAUUCUCGAAAAGCUGAGGUUAGGCGUCUUGUAGAAGCUGAAGGCAUUCCUUAUACUUACAUUUGCUGCAACCUUUUGAUGAGUUAUUUACUUCCAUGGCUAGCUCAACCUGGCUUAAAGGUUCCCCCAAAGGACAAGGUCACUAUUUUUGGAGAUGGAAAUGCUAAAGCUGUCUUCGUGAAGGAUAUUGAUGUUGCUGCUUUCACCAUCAGUGCCAUAGACGAUCCCAGAACACUUAAUAAGACUUUGUAUCUGAGACCCCCUGGAAACGUAUACUCCAUGAAUGAGCUGGUAGCAAUUUGGGAGAAUAAAAUUGCUAAGAAACUUGAGAAGAUUUAUGUACCUGAAGAGGAGGUUCUUAAGAAAAUCAAAGGUAUAUAUAAUGUAUCAUUAUGUAGCAAGUUUAUAAUAACUACUUAUUAACAUGUUGAAAAAAGUGAGGCUUUUAGAAAAAGCAUUGAAAAUUAUUUAGCUUCUAUUGCUUGUUAUAGCAAAACAGGAGAAUUACAUGAUUAAAUUGAUUAGGAAGAAGUAGCUCUGGGUUAUUAUUUAAUGCAUACUCUAAGCAGCAUCUAGAUUGCAGAGGAGCAAAUAAAGAUUCCUUUUAUAUUCCAUGAAUAACUCAGUUCUUUUCUUUUUUGUGAUAAUGAAUAACUAAGUUCUUAAAAGUAAUACAGUUGUUGAAAACUGGAAAGUAGGAGAAAUCACCCUACAUUGAAUAUCUUUGGUGUAUCACUAGCCAAUCUAAGAGCCUAACCACAGAAUAAUGCAAGUAUAGCUGUUUGACAUGCUCGUAUUUACAUUCUGUUCGGCAUUUGGUCACAUUGUGAUUCUGGAUUAGAGGUGAUAGAUUAAUUGAUGUAUGAAGGGCUCUAACUUAAGCAGAAAUACAAUAAAUUAAGAUUACCAAAAGUGGGGCUCUUGCAUAGUAGUGCACAUUAUGCAUUCACUUGCUUGUAUGUUAAAGCUUUACUUGAUUUACUUGGAUUAUUUCCAGACCAACAGGCAUGGGAGUAGAGACUCCUUACCCAGACAACAUGGAGAUGAUAUUCAUAUAUUCUGCCUUUGUAAAGGGAGAUCAUACAUACUUUAAUAUCGACCCUUCUGGAGUUGAUGGUACACAACUGUACCCACACUUGAAAU
Molecule: non-coding RNA, 1988 nt
Organism: Theobroma umbraticum
Lineage: Eukaryota; Viridiplantae; Streptophyta; Magnoliopsida; Malvales; Malvaceae
Source: RefSeq, a predicted model, not a curated record